RNAcentral lists this ribosomal RNA (468 nucleotides) under uncultured bacterium. RNAcentral's name for it is "partial 16S ribosomal RNA". It matches the Rfam family "Bacterial small subunit ribosomal RNA", at positions 28 to 507 of the family's 1533-position model. The record is from RNAcentral.
GACGAACGCUGGCGGCGUGCUUAACACAUGCAAGUCGAACGGAAAGGCCCUGCUUUUGUGGGGUGCUCGAGUGGCGAACGGGUGAGUAACACGUGAGUAACCUGCCCUUGACUUUGGGAUAACUUCAGGAAACUGGGGCUAAUACCGGAUAGGAGCUCCUGCUGCAUGGUGGGGGUUGGAUAGUUUCGGCGGUUGGGGAUGGACUCGCGGGUUAUCAGCUUGUUGGUGGGGUAGUGGCUUACCAAGGCUUUGACGGGUAGCCGGCCUGAGAGGGUGACCGGCCACAUUGGGACUGGGAUACGGCCCAGACUCCUACGGGAGGCAGCAGUGGGGAAUAUUGCACAAUGGGCGGAAGCCUGAUGCAGCAACGCCGCGUGCGGGAUGACGGCCUUCGGGUUGUAAACCGCUUUCGCCUGUGACGAAGCGUGAGUGACGGUAAUGGGUAAAGAAGCACCGGCUAACUACGUG